Long non-coding RNA from Lytechinus variegatus (green sea urchin), 1234 nucleotides. RefSeq lists it as uncharacterized. The record is from RefSeq and is a predicted model, not a curated record. The transcript is spliced from 4 exons. NCBI's taxonomy places the organism in Eukaryota, Metazoa, Echinodermata, Echinoidea, Temnopleuroida, Toxopneustidae.
CUCCUUUAUUGGAUGAGAGUCUGUUCACUUGAAGCUAGCUCUUAUAGUAAGCGACGGUCUGAGGAACAACAUACAGUAACAGCGCUUUUUGUACAGACUGAACGAUAAUCCUGUUAUUUACAGGUAAGUCGUCUUCCACCUCUACGUGUAGCUACCAUUGUCAUUAGUGUUUACCUCUUUGUCUCUUGUGCCUCAUUAAUCUUAGGAUGUAAAAUUCAGAGGGGUUUUGCAGGAACUCCUCUUUAGAAAUAGAAAGAUACGUGAGAUAUCUGACUUUAAAGGAUCAUAAUUUGUGUCAUGACAAGAUUGCCUUUCUUAUGCCACUUGUUAUAUGGACAUUAUGGAUUAAAGACAUAAAACAUGUUACCUCCAUGAUGUGAUAUUUACUGUUUUUUUUUAUUAGGGGUCGAAAAUUCAAUUUCUUGGAAAAUUAGGGAAAUAUUAUUUAUCCGUAAGUUAUGUGUAUUUCCAAUCUCGAUUCCAAUGUAAGUCUAUAUAUGCUUCCCCUUUUAAUAUUUUAGACAUUUAAGUUAAUUUCUGUCAUUCAGUUGUGUGUAUUGUUAUUGUUUGUGCGCGCGCAUACGCGUGCGUUUGUGUGUUGUAUUUUAUGCUCACACGGUCACUCAAUUUACACAGAAAAACCACGAUAAAGCAAGAUAGUGUGGCGCGUGCACAUCUCAGCUGCCGCACAUCGUCUAAAUCGAUUUAGUCACAUUUCCCAUCUUUGCAGAGCAUAUGAGACGGUUUUAAUAAUUGGUCAGCUUUGGCCUAUACCCGCAAAAACCAAUAUAAGAAAAAAUUACAGCAAUAAUUGAAUAUCAGCGGAUUUCAAGUGAUAUUGUGGUGACCUGGUGACGGAACGUGACUUCUGUAAUGUCUUUUCGCACAGUCCUCUACAUAAAGCUCUUUGAAACUGUGGACGCAAAUGAUAGUUCUGCUAAUUGAAAACAAAACUCUUUGUACGUAAUGACUUAUCAGAUAUUUUCAGCUGAUAAAGAAUACCACUUCAUGUUGUAUUGCGAGGUGCAUUCCAAUCGAGGUGCAUGUUGUGAAUGAUAAAUUUUGCCGACAUGCAUCAUGACAUUGGCGGUUGAUGAUUAUCUAAUACAUUUUGAUAACUUGAGAAACGUCGUCAGCAUUCCAACUGGAUUCGAUACACUGAUUGCGAUCGGUAUUAUUCAGGAAGUGCACACAUAGUCAAUGCGAGGUCUACUCCUGCCAGAAGGCACGUUGC